CCUAUGUAAAAUUUAAAAUCAACCCAUGUGGUGUAAACCCAGUUGCAACAAAAUGAGCAAAUGACCCAACUUUAAUUUAUUGGCCCAAACAAAACAUAAAUUUUAUUUUCCAUUUAAACCCAAAACCAAACACAAACCAAAUAUAAUUCUAAUCCAACAUUAAUCUCCAACAACAGGUCCAAACAAGUUAAAAAUCAAAUUCAAACUGGACAACGACGACGAUUCCUCUCUCAGACUCAGACUCUCUCGGUCUCUCCAUCUCCAACCUAUUUUUUCAAAUUUUCAAUCCAAAAUUUCUAUAAAAUUAAGGAACCCAUUACCCUAAUCAAAGAUUUCAAAGCCCAAUACCUUCUAGUAGGUGCCGCAAAGAACCGCCAAUCCGCUAUGUAGAGGUCGCUCAGCGCCUCAAGCCCUCAGCCCAAUACCUUCUAGUCCGCUGGCGCCACUGCUAUUCCCCGUCUCUCUUUGUGUGUCUGUGAGCCUCUCUCUCUCUCUCUGAAUGGUUAUUAUGGCUUGUAUUAUGUAGAGUUUAUAGACCAUAGUUGUAUAGGAUUAGAAAAUCUCAAAUCUGAAAACAGAAACGGGAGGGCCGAGGCUGGAAGCGUUGGAACUUGGAAAAUAAAAAAAGAAGAAUAGCCUUUUAUAUAGAUUGUUGACACAGGGAAGAUUCUUAAAGCGAUAAAGUCAGAAGUUAAUUAAUUAAAGAAUAAGAAUUGUUUGUCAGUUUGUCUGUUUGUGGUAUGUGGUUUAAACUUUAAAGCACAAAUAGAUUAUAGAUAUUAUCUCAUCUCAUGUCUAUCUUUUUAAGUCAUUAUUUUUAUAUUGUUUAAAGUCUUUUGAAUGAGUUUCACAAAAUACAAAAAAGAAACAAUUGCAAUAACUGUAUAGUAAAUAAAAAAU
RNAcentral lists this long non-coding RNA (900 nucleotides) under Olea europaea subsp. europaea. Lineage: Eukaryota; Viridiplantae; Streptophyta; Magnoliopsida; Lamiales; Oleaceae. The record is from RNAcentral.